Molecule: ribosomal RNA, 465 nt
Filed under: uncultured bacterium
Lineage: Bacteria
Description: partial 16S ribosomal RNA
Rfam family: Bacterial small subunit ribosomal RNA
Source: RNAcentral
GACGAACGCUGGCGGCGUGCUUAACACAUGCGAGUCGAACGGAAAGGCCCCUUUGGGGGUCCUCGAGUGGCGAACGGGUGAGUAACACGUGAGUAACCUGCCCUUGACUUCGGGAUAACUUCAGGAAACUGGGGCUAAUACCGGAUAGGAAUCCUUGCUGCAUGGUGGGGGUUGGAAAGCUUCGGCGGUUUUGGAUGGACUCGCGGCUUAUCAGCUUGUUGGUGGGGUAGUGGCUUACCAAGGCUUUGACGGGUAGCCGGCCUGAGAGGGCGACCGGCCACAGUGGGACUGAGAUACGGCCCAGACUCCUACGGGAGGCAGCAGUGGGGAAUAUUGCACAAUGGGCGGAAGCCUGAUGCAGCAACGCCGCGUGCGGGAUGACGGCCUUCGGGUUGUAAACCGCUUUCAGCAGGGGCGAAGCUUGUGGUGACGGUACCUGCAGAAGAAGCACCGGCUAACUACGUG